RNAcentral lists this transfer RNA (87 nucleotides) under Streptomyces griseocarneus. RNAcentral's name for it is "tRNA-Leu". It matches the Rfam family "tRNA". Rfam says of the family: Transfer RNA (tRNA) molecules are approximately 80 nucleotides in length. Their secondary structure includes four short double-helical elements and three loops (D, anti-codon, and T loops). Lineage: Bacteria; Bacillati; Actinomycetota; Actinomycetes; Kitasatosporales; Streptomycetaceae. The record is from RNAcentral.
GGAGAGGUGCCCGGAGUGGCUUAUCGGGGGCCGGAGCAGCUUCGGCCGGGUCAUCGGCCCACGCAGGUUCGAAUCCUGCCCUCUCCG